Molecule: unclassified non-coding RNA, 391 nt
Filed under: soil metagenome
Description: partial contains 5.8S ribosomal RNA, internal transcribed spacer 2, and large subunit ribosomal RNA
Rfam family: 5.8S ribosomal RNA (bases 1-122)
Source: RNAcentral
GAUGAAGAACGUAGCGAAAUGCGAUACUUGGUGUGAAUUGCAGAAUCCCGUGAACCAUCGAGUCUUUGAACGCAAGUUGCGCCCGAAGCCAUUAGGCCGAGGGCACGCCUGCCUGGGCGUCACACGUCGUUGCCCCCCCAUCUACUCCUUCGGGAUUGCGGGGGGCGGAUGAUGGCCUCCCGUGCGCCUCGUCGCGCGGUUGGCAUAAAUGCCAAGUCCUCGGCGACGCACGCCACGACAAUCGGUGGUUGCGAAACCUCGGUUGCCCGUCGGGUGCGGUCGUCGCGCAUCGAGGGCUCGAAAAAAUUGCCGGGCUCCGGCUCGGCUUUCAACGCGACCCCAGGUCAGGCGGGGUUACCCGCUGAAUUUAAGCAUAUCAAUAAGCGGAGGA